AAGACAUCAGUUAUUUCUUUUUCAAACGUAAUGGAAUUUCCUUGCACGCUGCUAUUAAUUUAUCAUUUGCAGUGUCACGCAUCAUGGAUGCAGAUUCGAUCAUGCGCAACCAUUUCAUGCAAAACCAGAAAAUUGAAGGCAUUCAGUAGUUCCACACGUUCAAACUUGAAAUUACAUCCCCUAGCCUGCAAGAUUGACAUUGCCUGAAACUCUGUGAGCAUUAAUCGCAGAUCUGCUGACAUUCCCUUCCAGCCACGGGGAGGCCAUUUGAAUUUCGGUUCCAGGAAGGUAACUGCCUCAUCCUGGUCACACUCUCGCCGGGCUGGAGGAAACAAAGGCAUCGCGCCCAUGGCUAGCAGUUUCUUUGCUCUCACUUGGUUUGAUGGUGUUGGGGGAAGCCUUGGCACCAGAAAUUCAGAGUUUGCACUAGAAAUAAUCUCGGUUGGCACCGAACGACGAGCGACAGGGAUCCCAAUUGACAUUGAAACUUCAACACAGGCUGUUGGUUGAGAAGUUACACUGGAGACCUGGGGCACUGAAGACAUGGACAAAGAUGAAGUUUCAAUAGGGACGAUGGAGUUGCUGGCGAGAGGACUGUUUGAAGAGGAGGUUUCAGAAUAGUCGGCCUGGAUAAGAAGUUGUCCAGGGUAGCCCAUGGUGUCUUCAAAAGAAGAGAGAGCUGACAUCUCCAUUUCAUCCAAAAGUGGAGUUGAGCCACCUGAUGAAUCUGUUUCCAGGAAGAAAGAUGGGACACGAUUGAUUUUCAUAAAAGUU
Molecule: long non-coding RNA, 774 nt
Organism: Dreissena polymorpha
Lineage: Eukaryota; Metazoa; Mollusca; Bivalvia; Myida; Dreissenidae
Exons: 3
Source: RefSeq, a predicted model, not a curated record